GAGGGAGGCAUCAAUGUGCAGAGGCCGGAGAGUGAGUGUCUCUUACCUCACUCCACCUUCUUCUCUGAGGCAAGGCCACUCACUGAACCCACAGCCUAUUGAUCUGACCGGUCUACUGUUGCCCCAGGGACUCUGCUCUGCCUCAUUUCACCUGUUUGCUGGUAAUCACAGCAUUCAUUGGUUAACCAGGCCAUCUCUCCAGCCCCGUGCAAAUGCUCUCCUCAAGUGGCGGCCUGAGUAUUUCCCGUCAUAGUGGCACAGGUCUUCUAGUCUAUAGUUUAUGAUAACCUGUAUUUCAGAUCUCUUAGCUGAUGGCCAGACCCUAGCAGGUAUAAUUUUUAAGACUACUUUUCUUAUUUUGGAGCCUGUAGCACGUUAGUUGUUAAGACUUUUAACUUUAUAUUCUCUGCCCUGACUCCUUGUUUAGGGGAAGCUUUUGGUUUUUGUUUUCUGGUAGUACUGAGGAUGGGUCUGAGACCUAGAGCAGGCUAGCAAGCAUUGAUGCAUAGCUCCACUCCUGUCCCACUGUAGCUUUCACUUAUUUGGGUUGUUGUUGUUGUUGUUGUUGUUGUUGUUGUUGUUUUUGUUUUUGUUUUGAGAGAGUGUCUCAUUUUGUAGCUUUAGGCUGCUUGGAACUUAGUAUGUAGACCAGGCUGGCCUCAAACUUAGAGCACUCAUAAUGCCUCUGACUUCCAGUGCCACUAGUCCCGACUUGGAUGAAGUUUUUAUGUGACUUAUCUUCAGAUUCUGCAUCUAAAAGCAUCAAAACUUACAGAGAAUAACAGCAUAAAACCCUCUUCCCCUCAGGUGUCUUCAGCACAUGUAAGGGUGACCUCUUAGAAGUUAAAGACGGCAAUGUGAAGACCCAGCCUGCAGUCCUAGAGAAUCUGGUCUUCUUUGUUGAGACUAUUUCUAUCGUCCUUUGGGUGUCCAGCUACUGUGAGAGUGUCUUGCGACCAUACAAAUUAAAUAUUCAGAAAAAGAAAAAGAAGAAAAAAGAAA
Molecule: long non-coding RNA, 1002 nt
Filed under: Rattus norvegicus (Norway rat)
Lineage: Eukaryota; Metazoa; Chordata; Mammalia; Rodentia; Muridae
Description: long non-coding RNA NONRATT008005
Source: RNAcentral